GGGGGCUGUGGCUCAGUGGCAGAGCAACUGCACGGCAUGCGGAAGGCCGCAGGUUCAAUCCCCGGCAUUUCCA
This 73-nucleotide transfer RNA is filed under the name Sphaerodactylus townsendi. RNAcentral's name for it is "tRNA-Ala". It matches the Rfam family "tRNA". From Rfam's summary of the family: Transfer RNA (tRNA) molecules are approximately 80 nucleotides in length. Their secondary structure includes four short double-helical elements and three loops (D, anti-codon, and T loops). Lineage: Eukaryota; Metazoa; Chordata; Lepidosauria; Squamata; Sphaerodactylidae. The record is from RNAcentral.